This 468-nucleotide ribosomal RNA is filed under the name uncultured bacterium. RNAcentral's name for it is "partial 16S ribosomal RNA". It matches the Rfam family "Bacterial small subunit ribosomal RNA", at positions 28 to 507 of the family's 1533-position model. The record is from RNAcentral.
GACGAACGCUGGCGGCGUGCUUAACACAUGCAAGUCGAACGGAAAGGCCCUGCUUUUGUGGGGUGCUCGAGUUGCGAACGGGUGAGUAACACGUGAGUAACCUACCAUUGCCUGUGGGAUAACUUAAGGCAACUGGGGCUAAUACCGGAUAGGAGCUCCUGCUGCAUGGUGGGGGUUGGAUAGUUUCGGCGGUUGGGGAUGGAAUCGCGGCUUAUGGGCUUGUUGGUGGGGUAGUGGGUUACCAAGGCCUUGAACGGUAGCAGGGCUGAGCGGGUCACCGGCUACAUUGGGAUUGAGAUAAGGCACAGACUAGUACGCGACGCAGCGGUGGGGAAGAGUGUACAAGGGGCGGAGGGAUGGUGCGACAACGCCGUGUGGGGGAUGACGUGCAUCGGGUUGGAAUCCGCUUUCGCCUGUGACGAAGUGAGAGUGACGGUAAUGGGUGAAGAAGCACCGGCUAACUACGUG